GUAGGUGGCAAGCGUUGUCCGGAAUUAUUGGGCGUAAAGCGCGCGCAGGCGGUCCUUUAAGUCUGAUGUGAAAGCCCGCGGCUCAACCGUGGAGGGUCAUUGGAAACUGGGGGACUUGAGUACAGAAGAGGAAAGCGGAAUUCCAAGUGUAGCGGUGAAAUGCGUAGAGAUUUGGAGGAACACCAGUGGCGAAGGCGGCUUUCUGGUCUGUAACUGACGCUGAGGCGCGAAAGCGUGGGGAGCAAACAGGGAUUAGAUACCCUGGUAGUCCACGCCGUAAACGAUGAGUGCUAAGUGUUAGGGGGUUUCCCGCCCCUUAGUGCUGCAGCUAACGCAUUAAGCACUCCGCCUGGGGGAUACGGCCGCAAGGCUG
This 373-nucleotide ribosomal RNA is filed under the name uncultured organism. RNAcentral describes it as "partial 16S ribosomal RNA". It matches the Rfam family "Bacterial small subunit ribosomal RNA", at positions 527 to 896 of the family's 1533-position model. The record is from RNAcentral.